GACUGGUUGAGAAGAAUAAGAAAGACCUAUUGAAUUGAAGCAUCUUAAUAAAUAGAGGAAAAGAAAAUAAGAAUGAUAUCGUUGGUAACGGCGAGUGAAAAGGAUAGGAGCCCAAAGACAGGAGACCGCUGUGUGGUUUAGGCAUGGUGGUGAUUCGUGGUGGGUGUAGCUUUGUGGGACAUUGUGUGGGACGUGCUGGGAAGUGCUUGGGGAAAAGGACAGGAUAGAUGGUGAUACUCCAGUAGUUGGGACGUGGGACACAGUGGGUGGACAUGGAGCUUGUGGAGUCAUAUUGCUUGAGAGUGCAAUAUAAAGGUGGUGGUAUAUUCCAUGGGAGGCUAAAUAGAGGUGAGAAGCCGAUAGCAAACAAGUACUGUGAAGGAAAGUUGGCAAGAACUUUGGAAAAAGAGUUGGAAGAGCCUGAAGUUGUGUUGGUGGAAGCAAUUGACUGUAGGACUAGUUGGCAAGUGUUGUGGUGCAUGGUGUCAGUGAUGGCAGUGUGUGUGGCACAGUGUUUGCUUUGUGGCUGUGAUGGAUAGACUGUGGUGGAAAGGACUGAUGGCAGAUAGUCACUGUGUGUCACAACGUGGUGGAUGGUGAAGUAUGGCUGUUGGUUAAUGUAGCUGUGGUGUAUCAGUGAUGGUUAGGAUAUGGUGAAUUGACCCGUCUUGAAACACGGACCAAGGAGUCUCAUUUAUUUGUGAAGAUAAGGAGUUUGUGACAUUGGUGUAUCUGGAAUGAAGAUGAAUUUAGUGAAUAUGAAAGUGCUUUUAGUUUACGGAGCACAGGCAAUAUUGAUUUACCCUGUGGACAACAUGGGGACUAAAUUGGAAUGAAUAGAUGAGGACCCGAAAGAUGGUGAACUAUACUUGGAGAGAAAGAAGUCAGGGGAAACUCUGAUGGAAGUUCGUAGCAGUGCUAACGUGCAAAUUGCUUGUGGGAACUGAGUAUAGGGGCGAAAGACUCAUCGAACCAUCUAGUAGCUGGUUCCCUCCGAAUUUUCCCUCAGGAUUGCAGUCAUUUGGUGUUAGUUAUAUCAAGUAAAGAUAAUGAUUAGAAGGUUGUGGUCUUUGUGUGUUUUCUUUUUUUAGGGGGAAUGCAGCCACAAGCAAGGGGACAAGAAUGGUUCUUUUCUUAUUCUCAAACUUAGAAGUGGUAUAGACAAUGCUGGACUCAUGGUCUUAAGACAAUGGAUGGGUCUGGUGGGAAAUAGAGCAAGUGAUUAGUGGGCCUAAUCUGGUAAGCAGAAGAGGCGAUGUGGGAUGAACCAAAGGAGAAGUUAAGGGGUCAAAGGUGGGGCACACAAGGACGCCAGAAAGGGAGUUGAUUGAUGGAGACAGCAGGACGGUGGCCACGGAAGUUGGAUGACCCGCCAAGAAGUGUGUAACAACUUACCUGCCGAAUUGAUGAGUCCCGAAAAUGGAUGACGCUUCAGUGCCUAUCAUCAAUUGUGCCCAAUACUUUUCUAUCAUGACGACGAUGCUUUUUGCUUUUGAGCGAUGGAUAGUUGUGAUAAGUAGGAGGAAGCGCAUGGGGAGUGUGGAAGCUGUGUGGGAAGACCCAGUGUGGAACAACCUGUGGUGCAGAUCUUGGUGGUAGUAGCAAUUACUCGAGUUCAACGCUUGAGGACCAAAGUGGAGAAGGGUUUCAAGGGAAUGGCAAGCAGCCAAGAGUUAGUCGGUGCUGAAGAGUAGGGGCAACCCGUGGGAAUAGCAGUGGCCUUUUUGUAGGUGAUGCUGGACUCUGAAAGGGAAAUGUGUUAAGAAUGACAUACCUUGGGUUCGUAUUUGGGUGACACGAUGUGUGAUGCUGGCAGGUGCUGUGCAGUGAUGUGUGGUGGUUGUUGGUGUUGGAUGUGGUGUGGCCUGGUGAUGGAUGGCAACAUGAGGGAAUUCCGCGACAGCAGUCACCAUUUCCGUAAAAGUUAUCUUUUGUUAAUAAUCCACGAUUUGUUUGUGCUUUCACUUUUGUUGCUUUUUGUGAUGGAAGUGUUCGGACGACAUAGAGGGAGUGCCAAGAAAGUGAAUGGAUUGGAGCAGUGGCAGGAAGUGGAGAAUAGCAUGGUGGUCAGGCAGUGGUGACAUUGCCAUGGUAGUGGUGGAAGAAUGGUUGUGAUUGCGACGUGAAAAGCGGGAGGAGCAGAGCUGGUGGCUUGUGUGCUUUUGUGGUGCGUGAGUGACACUGGUGGUGGAUAAAGAAGCAAGACCGUACCGAAGACCGCAACAGGUCUCCGAGGUUAGAAGCCUUUGGUGGAAUAGAAGAAAGUAGGUAAGGGAAGUCGGCAAAUUAGUACCGUAAGUUUGCAAGAAGGUAUGGCUCCAAAUUUGUGAGUGUGUGUUGUGUUUAGGUGUGGCUGUUGUGGCUGGUGAUUCGGCUGUGGUGGUUGUGCUUGUUUGUGUCAUUUUUGGCACAGAACACAGACACAGGAAAAGUUUGGAACUGAUAGAAAGAAGGGGAUUUGGACUGUAUAAUAAAAACAAAGCAUUGUGAUGGUGUAGACAAGCGUGUAGACACAAUGUGAAUUCUGCCCAGUGCUGAGAAUGUCAAAGUGAAGAGAUUUAAGGAAGCACGGGUUAACGGCGGGAGUAACUAUGACUCUCUUAAGGUAGCCAAAUGCCUCGUCAUCUAAUUAGUGACGCGCAUGAAUGGAUGAACCAAAAUCCCACUGUCCCUAUGUACUAUCUAGCGAAACCACAGCCAAGGGAACGGGCUUGGCAACAUCAGCGGGGAAAGAAGACCCUGUUG
Molecule: ribosomal RNA, 2745 nt
Filed under: human gut metagenome
Description: eukaryotic LSU rRNA
Rfam family: Eukaryotic large subunit ribosomal RNA
Source: RNAcentral